UACGUAGGGGGCUAGCGUUGUCCGGAAUCAUUGGGCGUAAAGAGCGUGUAGGCGGUCCGGUAAGUCCGUUGUGAAAGUCAGGGGCUCAACCCUUGAAUGCCGGCGGAUACUGUCGGGCUAGAGUCCGGAAGAGGCAAGUGGAAUUCCCGGUGUAGCGGUGAAAUGCGCAGAUAUCGGGAGGAACACCUAUGGCGAAGGCAGCUUGCUGGGACGGUACUGACGCUGAGACGCGAAAGCGUGGGGAGCAAACGGG
RNAcentral lists this ribosomal RNA (253 nucleotides) under uncultured bacterium. RNAcentral describes it as "partial 16S ribosomal RNA". It matches the Rfam family "Bacterial small subunit ribosomal RNA", at positions 524 to 776 of the family's 1533-position model. The record is from RNAcentral.